GCCCAGGACCUGUGUGUGGUGCAGACUUCAAAUCUGUAGGCGGUUAGCGCCGCAGUGGUUCGACUCCACCUUUCGGGUG
Molecule: transfer RNA, 79 nt
Filed under: Caenorhabditis briggsae
Lineage: Eukaryota; Metazoa; Nematoda; Chromadorea; Rhabditida; Rhabditidae
Description: tRNA-SeC (TCA) (tRNA-SeC-TCA-1-1)
Source: RNAcentral